AAUGACUCUCGGCAACGGAUAUCUCGGCUCUCGCAUCGAUGAAGAACGUAGCGAAAUACGAUACUUGGUGUGAAUUGCAGAAUCCCGUGAACCAUCGAGUUUUUGAACGCAAGUUGCGCCCGAAGCCAUUAGGCUAAGGGCACGUCUGCCUGGGCGUCACGC
RNAcentral lists this ribosomal RNA (162 nucleotides) under Palicourea guianensis. Its description in RNAcentral is "5.8S ribosomal RNA". It matches the Rfam family "5.8S ribosomal RNA". From Rfam's summary of the family: 5.8S ribosomal RNA (5.8S rRNA) is a component of the large subunit of the eukaryotic ribosome. It is transcribed by RNA polymerase I as part of the 45S precursor that also contains 18S and 28S rRNA. Functionally, it is thought that 5.8S rRNA may be involved in ribosome translocation. RNAcentral also lists the same sequence under 5 other names. The record is from RNAcentral. Lineage: Eukaryota; Viridiplantae; Streptophyta; Magnoliopsida; Gentianales; Rubiaceae.